GACGAACGCUGGCGGCGUGGAUUAGGCAUGCAAGUCGGACGGUAGGGCUUUAUCGUAAGAUAGAGUUUGAGGGUGGCGAACGGGUGAGUAACACGUAGGAAUCUACCCUUAAGACGGGGACAACCCAGGGAAACUUGGGCUAAUACCGGAUGAGAGUGCGAGAGAUUGCAUUUAAAAGGAUGGCGAAAGUUGUCGCUUAGGGAUGAGCCUGCGGUCUAUUAGUUAGUUGGUGAGGUAAGAGCUCACCAAGGCGAUGAUAGAUAGGCGGCCUUAACGGGUGGUCGCCCACACUGGGAUUGAGAUACGGCCCAGACUCCUACGGGAGGCAGCAGUCGAGAAUAGUCUACAAUGGCCGGAAGGCUGAUAGUGCGACGCCGCGUGAACGAGGGAGCCCUUCGGGUGUAAAGUUACUUUUCUAUUACGAGCAGUGCUAUAUAUAUGGAUAGUAUAUAUAGAGGGAUAGUAGUAUAGGAAUAAGCAACGGCUAACUCCGUGCCAGCAGCCGCGGUAA
RNAcentral lists this ribosomal RNA (511 nucleotides) under uncultured bacterium. RNAcentral's name for it is "bacterial SSU rRNA". It matches the Rfam family "Bacterial small subunit ribosomal RNA", at positions 28 to 523 of the family's 1533-position model. The record is from RNAcentral.